This 484-nucleotide ribosomal RNA is filed under the name uncultured bacterium. RNAcentral's name for it is "partial 16S ribosomal RNA". It matches the Rfam family "Bacterial small subunit ribosomal RNA", at positions 29 to 523 of the family's 1533-position model. The record is from RNAcentral.
AGUGAACGCUGGCGGCGUGCUUAACACAUGCAAGUCGAACGAGAACGGAUUAUAGCUUGCUAUAAUUGUCAGCUAAGUGGCGCACGGGUGAGUAAUGUAUAGGUAAUAUGCCUCUUACUAAGGGAUAACAAUUGGAAACGAUUGCUAAUACCUUAUAUUCCUUUUUAUCAAAAGAUAAAAAGUGAAAGAUUUAUUGGUAAGAGAUUAGCCUGUAUUGUAUCAGUUAGUUGGUGGGGUAAUGGCCUACCAAGACGAUGACGAAUAACUGGUUUGAGAGGAUGAUCAGUCACACUGGAACUGAGACACGGUCCAGACUCCUACGGGAGGCAGCAGUGGGGAAUAUUGCACAAUGGACGAAAGUCUGAUGCAGCAACGCCGCGUGGAGGAUGACACAUUUCGGUGCGUAAACUCCUUUUAUAUAAGAAGAUAAUGACGGUAUUAUAUGAAUAAGCACCGGCUAACUCCGUGCCAGCAGCCGCCGUAA